GGAAAAGUUGCUUGGCACUAAAGCAGCAAGACCUAUUUCCAGGUAUAAAAGCAUCAUGAAGGUCAGCAGCGAAAGGAAUAAAAAGGCCCAGCGAAUUAUGUAACCAGGCCUGGAUACAGGCAUGAAAUGAGGAAACAGAGUUGUCCAAGCUUCC
Molecule: long non-coding RNA, 154 nt
Filed under: Mustela putorius furo (domestic ferret)
Lineage: Eukaryota; Metazoa; Chordata; Mammalia; Carnivora; Mustelidae
Description: lncRNA (ENSMPUG00000028655.1)
Source: RNAcentral